RNAcentral lists this transfer RNA (70 nucleotides) under Oreophryne anulata (Davao cross frog). Its description in RNAcentral is "tRNA-Val". The record is from RNAcentral. Lineage: Eukaryota; Metazoa; Chordata; Amphibia; Anura; Microhylidae.
ACAAAAUGUACCUUAACAAAAGCACCUUGCUUACACCAAGAACAUGUCCGCGAAACUCGGACCAUUUUGA